UCCCUGAUAGCUCAGUUGGUAGAGCAAGCGGCUGUUAACCGCUGGGUCGUAGGUUCGAGUCCUACUCGGGGAG
This 73-nucleotide transfer RNA is filed under the name Planctomycetaceae bacterium. Its description in RNAcentral is "tRNA-Asn". It matches the Rfam family "tRNA". Rfam says of the family: Transfer RNA (tRNA) molecules are approximately 80 nucleotides in length. Their secondary structure includes four short double-helical elements and three loops (D, anti-codon, and T loops). Lineage: Bacteria; Pseudomonadati; Planctomycetota; Planctomycetia; Planctomycetales; Planctomycetaceae. The record is from RNAcentral.